This is a long non-coding RNA of Lolium rigidum, 220 nucleotides long. RefSeq lists it as uncharacterized. The record is from RefSeq and is a predicted model, not a curated record. Lineage: Eukaryota; Viridiplantae; Streptophyta; Magnoliopsida; Poales; Poaceae. The transcript has 3 exons.
GACCUGAUGACAUGCCGGCACAUAUUAAAUCUUCGAUGUUUGGUUGUGCCUUGACGAUUCCUAUCACCGACGGGCGUCUCAACAUGGGAACUUGGCAGGGUAUAUGGCUUUGUGAACAUCGUGAUGACCCUACUCCUCGCACGAUCGUGAUUACGCUCAGCGGGAUCUAAAAUGGCCAAGGCUCUGCAAAUUCAGCGUGGUGAUUUUCAUGUGCAUAUAC